AGUGAAUCAAAUGUUAUCAUCCGGCAUUGAAAAUUGAAAUGUUUUUAUAAAGGAGGAAUUAUUAGGAAUCUUUGGUUAGUUAUUUAAAGGUGGACAGGAGAUAAAUUUUGCACAUACAGCCCGUCAA
RNAcentral lists this ribosomal RNA (127 nucleotides) under Scrippsiella hangoei. RNAcentral's name for it is "partial Microsporidia small subunit ribosomal RNA". The record is from RNAcentral. Lineage: Eukaryota; Dinophyceae; Peridiniales; Peridiniaceae.